UAGAAAAUGGUGUAGUGGAAGCACUAAGAGUUUUGAUCUCUUAAGAUGAGGUUCGAGUCCUC
Molecule: transfer RNA, 62 nt
Filed under: Nimbapanchax viridis
Lineage: Eukaryota; Metazoa; Chordata; Actinopteri; Cyprinodontiformes; Nothobranchiidae
Also listed under: 1 other name
Description: partial tRNA-Gln
Rfam family: tRNA
About the family: Transfer RNA (tRNA) molecules are approximately 80 nucleotides in length.
Source: RNAcentral